UCCUCAACAUAAAAUCUAUUAAUACACAAUCCAAAUAAGAUUAUAAUGCGCUACAUGUCUGUCCAUUCUCCAACUUACAACCAUCAUUAAAACUAUAACUGACUCUGCUACACUUUAACGGAUGGUAUUAUCUUACAAACAGAAUAAAUCGUCUCUUGUUUUCAUUGUUAAGAGAACAACCUAUCUUAGAAAGCCAUGACUUCCCAGUAAGAUAAAAGUUCGUCAAACAAAUUAGCAUCAGCACACAAAAUGGUUGUCAUCCUGCCAUGCCAUAGUCAUCUGCCUGAUCAUAAAGAUUGUAGCUUCCCGGUACUCCCAUCUUUCCAGUUAGGUGGUCGUCUCUUUGAUUUGGUAACACACCCAAGAAAUGCAAUUCAGAGCUUAUCUCAGGGCUCUGGAAGCACAGAUCGUCGGCCCUUGGAGGGUUUUGCUGGGAGUGAAAUAUUUCUGGUUUUGUCUUCUUCUCAUUCGGUGAGUCAACUUCUGUUUCCACUUCUGAUUCAGCAUUGUUAGAUGAGGCAACCAAUUGUUUUCUUUUUGAUCGUGCACGCCUGUUUUGGAACCAAUUAUACACAUUUGUUUCAGAAAUUUGUCCAUGCUGGCUGAGUUCAGAGGUUAUCUCUUUAAUCUUUUGCUUGCUUGGAGUUCCAUUCCCCAUAUCAAAGAUUCGCUCCAGAAUUUGAAGCUGCAAAGGUGUCGGAGUCCACCUCUGUCUUGCAGUAAUUUUGUGUCCACCAGAAGCCAUUAAUGGAUCGCAGUACAGAUUUCCUAGCCUGCCUCCUGCAAGAUCUUGCUGGGCAGAGAGGGUCUUGUGCAUCUCAACAAGCUGCUCACAAAUGGUGGCAUAAACAGCAAUUUGCUUCCUAAGAGUUUCAAGUUGCUCAUCUGUCAUGACCUUGACGUACAGCAUUCCUCCAUUCCCA
Molecule: unclassified non-coding RNA, 923 nt
Filed under: Hevea brasiliensis (rubber tree)
Lineage: Eukaryota; Viridiplantae; Streptophyta; Magnoliopsida; Malpighiales; Euphorbiaceae
Source: RNAcentral